This 1332-nucleotide long non-coding RNA is filed under the name Heterocephalus glaber (naked mole-rat). RNAcentral describes it as "lncRNA (ENSHGLG00100037159.1)". The record is from RNAcentral. Lineage: Eukaryota; Metazoa; Chordata; Mammalia; Rodentia; Bathyergidae.
AAUUGAAGUUAGAGCUCAGUCGGCACUACACAACAAGAUCUUGUCUUUAAAAAAGGAUUUGGCAGUGAAGCCAUCAGGACCUGGGCUUUUCUUAGUUGAACUGGGCAUCAAACUCAGGAACUUGCACUUGCCAGGCCAGCAUGGUGCCUCUGAGCUACAUCCCUGGUCCAACAUUAUUUUAUAGUAACAUUGUUUUAGGGCCUCUUAAUGGAGACUAUCUUUUGCCUGGAUAAUUACUGGUGAACAGAGACCUUUAAAAUAUAGAAAAAUCAUGUUCACCUUCAGCCUUGGGGAUUGCUAAGUGACACACUGCUUGUCCAGCAGACAGUUAAGGGACAUUGUCCAUCAGAAAGGAAGGAAUAAUUUGAAGCCAGAGUAUAUAGCUGAAAUAAAGAGCAGAAGCCUUCCAGAAAGCAGGCAGCAAUACCAAGGAAUUGCUGUUUUGCCACAGGUAACUUUUCUGCACACAUUCUCCAGCAGUGUCACAGGGAAGGACUGGAAGAAAUGAGGCUGUGGGAUUCCAGCUAAUGGCAGCAGCCAGGACCCUUACAUUGGCAUUAAAAGUGGUGUGGUUUUGGAGGCUCCAGUCCAUGAUGGUUUGGCCCCGUUGUUCUGGACCUACAGGGAAGCAGCAUGAAAUGAGACAACACAUUCCGACUGUAAGACCCCAAGCUUCUCAAAUCUGUGCUAGCCUGUGAAUGAGGGUACUCACAUCCCUGGAGACAUGCUGGACCAAUGAUCAUGAGCCGAGAUUGCCGGAGGGACUGGAAAUAAGAGGAGAGGCAGGAGACCCUUGUGGUUAUCACCUAGCACUCCUGACUAGAGAAAGUGUCCUUCAUGACGGACCUGAGGAGCAGGUGGAGAAAUAAGGAUUUGAGGGCAACCACAGCUCACAAACCUCACUAUACACAGACUUCAACUUAUGAGGGUUCAAUUUAUGGUAUUUUGACUUUAUGUUGGUACAAAAGCCAUGUGCAUUCAGUAGAAAUUGUACUUCCAGUUUUGAUCUUUCCUAGGCUAGCAGUGGCUGGGCAACAGCACUGAGCCAUGGCUCCCAGUCAUCCAUGUGGUCACAAGGUGGAACGAGAGAGACUCUGGCACAUUGUGUUGCUAAGCUGUGAUACUCAGUGGGUUAGGUGAAUUAAAGGCAUUUUUGGAUUUAACAAUAGUUUCCUCUUACUAUGGGCUUAUCAAGGAGUAACCCCAUCAUAAACUGAGGAGUGUCUGUGGUCUGGAACUGAGUCCCACUUAAGAGAGUCACUUACAUUUAAGAUGUGCAUAUAAUCCAGGAAGAGGAGAAAGGGUGAUAAUCACCACUCUGUAACACGUGAC